GUAGUCUCGCACAGAUGCAUAUCAAUAAGCGGAGGAAAAGAAACUAACAAGGAUUCCCCUAGUAACGGCGAGUGAAGCGGGAAGAGCUCAAAUUUGAAAUCUUAAAGGGUUUCCCUUUACGAAUUGUAGUUUAAAGAAGUGUUUUCUGUUGAGGUUUUGGUAAAAGUUCUUUGGAAUAGGACAUCAUAGAGGGUGAGAAUCCCGUAUUUGACCUUUACUUUCAACUUUGUGAUACACUUUCAAAGAGUCGGAUUGUUUGGGAAUGCAGUCCAAAAUGGGUGGUAAAUUUCAUCUAAAGCUAAAUAUUGGCGAGAGACCGAUAGCGAACAAGUACCGUGAGGGAAAGAUGAAAAGAACUUUGAAAAGAGAGUUAAACAGUACGUGAAAUUGUCAAAAGGGAAGCGUUUGACACCAGUGUUGUUUUUCUGAAAUCAAUUAAAGAACUGUUUAUGCUAAGCUGUUUAGACUUUAUCAGCUAAUCUGUUUAGUUUUGAGCUUUUCUUUAAUGCACUUUUCAGUUAACAAGUCAACAUCAAUUUCUUUUGCUGUAAAAAAGCUUGAGGAAGGUGGCUUGAGAUUCGUCUUAAGUGUUUAUAGCCUCUUGCCUAUGCAGUCGGAGAGAUUGAGGUCUGCAGCGUAGAUCCUUCGGGGCUAAAUGCAUUUGUGCUAAGUUAUAGCAUUUUAUAGACAACUUGUUGACUAUGAUUUGUCUUGUAGCUUACUCGCUUAUGUUAUUUUACCUACGCUUAGGAUGUUGAUCUGUAGUGCGUGCGC
RNAcentral lists this ribosomal RNA (774 nucleotides) under uncultured Neocallimastigales. Its description in RNAcentral is "partial large subunit ribosomal RNA". It matches the Rfam family "Eukaryotic large subunit ribosomal RNA", at positions 24 to 646 of the family's 3401-position model. The record is from RNAcentral. Lineage: Eukaryota; Fungi; Neocallimastigomycota; Neocallimastigomycetes; Neocallimastigales.